AAAUCCUUCUCAUAUGCCUAAGGGAGAAGUGAACAUUGUUGGGCAUAUUUCAAUUUGAUCAUUAAUAAAACGCAAUUCUAUUCAUCCACGUCUAUGAUGUUUUUUUUUUACUUUUUGCUUUUCUGAAAAUGGUAAUCAUAAAAAACAUAAAUAAAUAAAUAAUAAUUGUCCAUUUGCAUAAUAUUUGGUCACAAUUCACUUCUCUAAAAUUAAAA
RNAcentral lists this long non-coding RNA (215 nucleotides) under Lathyrus oleraceus (garden pea). RNAcentral describes it as "Pisum sativum (pea) long non-coding RNA (PSAT_LNC007738)". The record is from RNAcentral. Lineage: Eukaryota; Viridiplantae; Streptophyta; Magnoliopsida; Fabales; Fabaceae.